CCCCUAGAUGUUCUGGGCCGCACGCGCGCUACACUGAACAGUUCAACAAGUCUUAACCUUGGCCGAUAGGUCUGGGUAAUCUUUGAACGCUGUUCGUGAUUGGGAUAGACCUUUGCAAUUAUGGGUCUUCAACGAGGAAUUCCUAGUAAACGCAAGUCAUCAGCUUGCAUUGAUUACGCCCCUGCCCUUUGUACACACCGCCCGUCGCACCUACCGAUUGAAUGGUCCGGUGAAAUCUCGGGACGGCGGCUCGGUCGCUUGCGUCCGACUGCUGAAACUUGAUUAAACCAUAUCAUUUAGAGGAAGGUGAAGUCGUAACA
Molecule: ribosomal RNA, 320 nt
Filed under: uncultured eukaryote
Lineage: Eukaryota
Description: partial 18S ribosomal RNA
Rfam family: Eukaryotic small subunit ribosomal RNA
Source: RNAcentral